This 72-nucleotide transfer RNA is filed under the name Salmo salar (Atlantic salmon). It matches the Rfam family "tRNA". Rfam says of the family: Transfer RNA (tRNA) molecules are approximately 80 nucleotides in length. Their secondary structure includes four short double-helical elements and three loops (D, anti-codon, and T loops). Further hydrogen bonds mediate the characteristic L-shaped molecular structure. tRNAs have two regions of fundamental functional importance: the anti-codon, which is responsible for specific mRNA codon recognition, and the 3' end, to which the tRNAs corresponding amino acid is attached (by aminoacyl-tRNA synthetases). tRNAs cope with the degeneracy of the genetic code in two manners: having more than one tRNA (with a specific anti-codon) for a particular amino acid; and 'wobble' base-pairing, i.e. permitting non-standard base-pairing at the 3rd anti-codon position. The record is from Rfam by way of RNAcentral. Lineage: Eukaryota; Metazoa; Chordata; Actinopteri; Salmoniformes; Salmonidae.
GACCCUUUACUCAGUUGGUAGAGCAUGGUGUUUGCAACGCCAGGGUUGUGGGUUCGAUUCCCACGGGGGGCC